GUGACUUGAUUUCAAGAAUCUAGUAACGAAGAAAAAAAUUGUAUCUUUGGGCUGAUGAGAUCUUUGAUUUUUCGAUUCUGCGAUGGAAAAAUUUAGAAAAAUAAAAGCAGAAAAUUCAACAAAGAUUCACAGUGAUUAUACUGAUUAGUGAUUAGUGGUACAGACAAGAUGUAUUUAUAGGGAAGACGGUGUUUAAAUUCCAAAAUGGGGCUUAAGAUUGAGCGAAAUUACGAGAUGCACCCAUAGGUUUCACAUUUAUAGUUUCUCCCAAAAUCAAAGUUUACAGUGAAAGCUAAGCGAUAAACGAUGGAAGUUACAGCUCGGCACCGAAUCGGAUGCGGGGUCCGCCAUGACAAUGGAGGAUUGACCUGACGCGGUGGGUUGUACGGUUGUCACGAAUGAAAUUGCAGAUCCACCGUUGAUCACGGCCGUCGACGCCGGUCCCACACAAUCUUAACCACACGUUUCGCCAUGAAACGGGUGUGCAGUCUGAUUUUGAAAUGUGGGGGCCUCAAUCAAUAUUUAAAAUGUGUUUAACGAUUACAGUCAUAAAGUAUG
Molecule: long non-coding RNA, 558 nt
Filed under: Olea europaea (common olive)
Lineage: Eukaryota; Viridiplantae; Streptophyta; Magnoliopsida; Lamiales; Oleaceae
Description: long non-coding RNA (OEUR_LNC008521)
Source: RNAcentral